GCGGCGGACGGGUGAGUAACACGUGGGUAACCUACCCAUAAGACUGGGAUAACUCCGGGAAACCGGGGCUAAUACCGGAUAAUAUUUUGAACUGCAUAGUUCGAAAUUGAAAGGCGGCUUCGGCUGUCACUUAUGGAUGGACCCGCGUCGCAUUAGCUAGUUGGUGAGGUAACGGCUCACCAAGGCGACGAUGCGUAGCCGACCUGAGAGGGUGAUCGGCCACACUGGGACUGAGACACGGCCCAGACUCCUACGGGAGGCAGCAGUAGGGAAUCUUCCGCAAUGGACGAAAGUCUGACGGAGCAACGCCGCGUGAGUGAUGAAGGCUUUCGGGUCGUAAAACUCUGUUGUUAGGGAAGAACAAGUGCUAGUUGAAUAAGCUGGCACCUUGACGGUACCUAACCAGAAAGCCACGGCUAACUACGUGCCAGCAGCCGCGGUAAUACGUAGGUGGCAAGCGUUAUCCGGAAUUAUUGGGCGUAAAGCGCGCGCAGGUGGUUUCUUAAGUCUGAUGUGAAAGCCCACGGCUCAACCGUGGAGGGUCAUUGGAAACUGGGAGACUUGAGUGCAGAAGAG
This 576-nucleotide ribosomal RNA is filed under the name Bacillus sp. (in: firmicutes). Its description in RNAcentral is "bacterial SSU rRNA". It matches the Rfam family "Bacterial small subunit ribosomal RNA", at positions 95 to 656 of the family's 1533-position model. The record is from RNAcentral. Lineage: Bacteria; Bacillati; Bacillota; Bacilli; Caryophanales; Bacillaceae.